UACAGAGGGUGCGAGCGUUAAUCGGAAUUACUGGGCGUAAAGCGUGCGUAGUCGGCUUCUUAAGUCGGGUGUGAAAUCCCCGGGCUCAACCUGGGAAUUGCAUUCGAUACUGGGUCGCUAGAGUUCGGUAGAGGGAAGUGGAAUUUCCGGUGUAGCGGUGAAAUGCGUAGAUAUCGGAAGGAACACCAGUGGCGAAAGCGACUUCCUGGACCAGAACUGACGAUCAGGCACGAAAGCGUGGGGAGCAAACAGG
Molecule: ribosomal RNA, 253 nt
Filed under: uncultured bacterium
Lineage: Bacteria
Description: partial 16S ribosomal RNA
Rfam family: Bacterial small subunit ribosomal RNA
Source: RNAcentral